UGCGUUCGGAAUCGAAAACCGUGCACCGUAGGUCCUUAUUCUCUUGCUCCGACGAGCUUCCUUGAGGCUGGCCAUGGUGGCCACCGUGUUCCGGAGCUGCCCUGUUCGCCGUCCCCUUCCUCUCUCUCUCUUUUUUUUAUAUAUUUUUCUUUUAAUCCAGCGUGUUCAUCUGUGAUCCAACGGCCUACAAUGCCCCGUACCCCUUCGAGGGCAUUUUUGUUAAAGAGUCCCCCAGGAAUCCCAUUUUUGCGCGCGCAGUCCUCGGCC
This 267-nucleotide long non-coding RNA is filed under the name Sorghum bicolor (sorghum). Its description in RNAcentral is "long non-coding RNA (SBIC_LNC003176)". The record is from RNAcentral. Lineage: Eukaryota; Viridiplantae; Streptophyta; Magnoliopsida; Poales; Poaceae.